GCCGAAGUGGCGAAACUGGUAGACGCAUCAGACUCAAAAUCUGACGUGGUUCACCCCACGUGUCGGUUCGAUUCCGACCUUCGGCA
RNAcentral lists this transfer RNA (86 nucleotides) under Candidatus Gastranaerophilus sp. (ex Termes propinquus). It matches the Rfam family "tRNA". Rfam says of the family: Transfer RNA (tRNA) molecules are approximately 80 nucleotides in length. The record is from Rfam by way of RNAcentral. Lineage: Bacteria; Bacillati; Candidatus Melainabacteria; Candidatus Gastranaerophilales; Candidatus Gastranaerophilaceae.